UGACCGCUGGCGGCGUGCUUAACACAUGCAAGUCGAACGAAGCACUUUAUUUGAUUUCCUUCGGGACUGAUUAUUUUGUGACUGAGUGGCGGACGGGUGAGUAACGCGUGGGUAACCUGCCUUGUACAGGGGGAUAACAGUUGGAAACGGCUGCUAAUACCGCAUAAGCGCACGGCAUCGCAUGAUGCAGUGUGAAAAACUCCGGUGGUAUAAGAUGGACCCGCGUUGGAUUAGCUAGUUGGUGAGGUAACGGCCCACCAAGGCGACGAUCCAUAGCCGACCUGAGAGGGUGACCGGCCACAUUGGGACUGAGACACGGCCCAAACUCCUACGGGAGGCAGCAGUGGGGAAUAUUGCACAAUGGGCGAAAGCCUGAUGCAGCGACGCCGCGUGAGCGAAGAAGUAUUUCGGUAUGUAAAGCUCUAUCAGCAGGGAAGAUAAUGACGGUACCUGACGAAGAAGCACCGGCUAAAUACGUG
RNAcentral lists this ribosomal RNA (479 nucleotides) under uncultured bacterium. RNAcentral's name for it is "partial 16S ribosomal RNA". It matches the Rfam family "Bacterial small subunit ribosomal RNA", at positions 30 to 507 of the family's 1533-position model. The record is from RNAcentral.